RNAcentral lists this ribosomal RNA (510 nucleotides) under uncultured bacterium. RNAcentral's name for it is "partial 16S ribosomal RNA". It matches the Rfam family "Bacterial small subunit ribosomal RNA", at positions 28 to 507 of the family's 1533-position model. The record is from RNAcentral.
GACGAACGCUGGCGGCGUGCUUAACACAUACAAGUCGAACGAAGAGCGAUGGAAGCUUGCUUCUAUCAAUCUUAGUGGCGAACGGGUGAGUAACGCGUAAUCAACCUGCCCUUCAGAGGGGGACAACAGUUGGAAACGACUGCUAAUACCGCAUACGAUCUAAACUCGGCAUCGAGGAUAGAUGAAAGGUGGCCUCUACAUGUAAGCUAUCACUGAAGGAGGGGAUUGCGUCUGAUUAGCUAGUUGGAGGGGUAACGGCCCACCAAGGCGAUGAUCAGCAGCCGGUCUGAGAGGAUGAACGGCCACAUUGGGACUGAGACACGGCCCAGACUCCUACGGGAGGCAGCAGUGGGGAAUCUUCCGCAAUGGACGAAAGUCUGACGGAGCAACGCCGCGUGAGUGAUGACGGCCUUCGGGUUGUAAAGCUCUGUUAAUCGGGACGAAAGGCCUUCUUGCGAAUAGUGAGAAGGAUUGACGGUACCGGAAUAGAAAGCCACGGCUAACUACGUG